This 253-nucleotide ribosomal RNA is filed under the name uncultured bacterium. RNAcentral's name for it is "partial 16S ribosomal RNA". It matches the Rfam family "Bacterial small subunit ribosomal RNA", at positions 524 to 776 of the family's 1533-position model. The record is from RNAcentral.
UACAGAGGGUGCGAGCGUUAAUCGGAAUUACUGGGCGUAAAGCGUGCGUAGACGGUUAUUUAAGUCGGGUGUGAAAGCCCCGGGCUCAACCUGGGAAUUGCAUUCGAGACUGAAUAGCUAGGGUACGGUAGAGGGAAGCGGAAUUUCCGGUGUAGCGGUGAAAUGCGUAGAUAUCGGAAGGAACACCGGUGGCGAAGGCGGCAUCCUGGACCAAUAUUGACGCUGAGGAGCGAAAGCCAGGGGAGCAAACGGG